AAAUCUUCCUAUCCUAGUUACCUAGUUACCUGGUCGCCUAGUCACCUGCGCGCGGAGCGCGUAACGCGGCGAACGGGUGAGUAACGCGUGGGAACGUACCGCCGAGAUGGGGACAACUCCGCGAAAGCGGAGCUAAUACCCAAUGGUUCCCGCCACAUUCUUGAAUGUGGCGGGAUAAAGGAGCAAUCCGCUCGGUGAGCGGCCCGCGUCCUAUCAGCUAGUUGGUGGGGUAAUGGCCUACCAAGGCGAUGACGGGUAGGGGGUGUGAGAGCAUGAUCCCCCACAAUGGCACUGAGACAAGGGCCAUACACCUACGGGUGGCAGCAAUCAGGAAUCUUGCGCAAUGGGCGAAAGCCUGACGCAGCGACGCCGCGUGGAGGAUGAAGGUCGUGAGAUUGUAAACUCCUAGCCUUGUGCGUAGCACAAGCGUAAUUGGUAAAUAGUAAAUGGUAAUUGGGAUAUAAACCAUCAAAUACCCUAAUUGCGAAUUACAAAUUACGAAUUACCCUCGUGCUACGCGCGAGGGGAUAAAGUCCCGGCUAACUACGUGCCAGCAGCAGCGGUAAAACGUAGGGGGCAAGCGUUAUCCGGAUUUAUUGGGCGUAAAGAGUGCGCAGGCGGCCAGAUAAGUUUUUCGUUAAAGCCCCCCGCUCAACGGGGGAACUGCGGAGAAUACUGUUUGGCUGGAGGAAGGUAGAGGCUGUUGGAACUCGGGGAGGAGGGGUGAAAUCCUAUGAUCCCCCAAGGAACACCGAAGGCGAAGGCAGACAGCUGGGCCUUUUCUGACGCUAAGGCACGAAAGCUAGGGGAGCAAAACGGAUUAGAUACCCGUGUAGUCCUAGCCGUAAACGAUCCUCGCUAGAUUUUGGCAUCUGUCAGAGUCGAAGCUAACGCAUUAAGCGAGGCGCCUGGGAAGUACGGCCGCAAGGCUAAAACUCAAAGGAAUUGACGGGGACCCGCACAAGCGGUGGAGCGCCUGGUUUAAUUCGAUGAUAACCGAAGAACCUUACCAGGGCUUGACAUCCCGAUAGAAAUCCCGACGAAAAUUGGGCCCCCCGCAAGGGCUGUCGGGACAGGUGUUGCAUGGCUGUCGUCAGCUCGUGCCGUGAGGUGUAUGCUUAAGUGCCGAAACGAGCGCAACCCCUACCCCAUGUUAGAAAUGUCGUGGGGGACUGCCUCCGUAAGGGGGAGGAAGGUGGGGACGACGUCAAGUCAGUAUGGCCCUUAUGCCCUGGGCAACACAGACGCUACAAUGGCGGCUACAACGGGUUGCAAUGUCGUAAGGCGGAGCUAAUCCUUAAAAAGCCGUCUCAGUUCGGAUUGGGGGCUGAAACUCGCCCCCAUGAAGUUGGAAUCGCUAGUAAUGGCCGGUCAGCUAUACGGCCGUGAAUACGUUCUCGGGUCUUGUACACACCGCCCGUCAACUGGGGAAAGUUGGAGCCAGCCGAAGCCCCCCGCCUAGCGGGGGAUCAAGCUGGAGCCAGUAAUCAACAGU
This 1495-nucleotide ribosomal RNA is filed under the name uncultured bacterium. Its description in RNAcentral is "bacterial SSU rRNA". It matches the Rfam family "Bacterial small subunit ribosomal RNA". The record is from RNAcentral.